This 300-nucleotide ribosomal RNA is filed under the name Opisthopatus cinctipes. RNAcentral describes it as "partial 12S ribosomal RNA". Lineage: Eukaryota; Metazoa; Onychophora; Udeonychophora; Euonychophora; Peripatopsidae. The record is from RNAcentral.
UAACCUUAAUAAUUUGGCUGUAUCUUUUAUAUAGAGGAGUUUGUAAUUUAAUCGAAAUUGCACGAUUUAUUUUACUUGUGUUUAUCUUGUAUACCUCCGUUUAGAUGUUGUUUAUAACUCCCUAAAUUUUCAUAGUAAUUAUGGUUAGAAUAUCACGUCGAGGUGCAUUAUAUUCAAGAUAUUAUGUGCUACAUUAAAAAAUUAAUUAAAUGGAUUUAAUAUGAAAAGUUUAAUGAAGGUGGAUCUAUGAAUAAAAUAAAGUAUAAUAUUUGUUUGAAUAUAAUAUAGCUAUGUACACAU